UACGUAGGAGACGAGCGUUGUCCGGAAUUACUGGGCGUAAAGCGCGUGUAGGCGGAUGGGCAAGUCUGCUGUGAAAGCUCCUGGCUUAACCGGGAGUGGUCGGUGGAAACUGCCCGUCUGGAGGACGGUAGAGGUAGGUAGAAUUCCCGGUGUAGUGGUGAAAUGCGUAGAGAUCGGGAGGAAUACCUGUGGCGAAGGCGGCCUACUGGGCCGGACCUGACGCUGAGACGCGAAGGGGUGGGGAGCGAACGGG
RNAcentral lists this ribosomal RNA (253 nucleotides) under uncultured bacterium. RNAcentral's name for it is "partial 16S ribosomal RNA". It matches the Rfam family "Bacterial small subunit ribosomal RNA", at positions 524 to 776 of the family's 1533-position model. The record is from RNAcentral.